RNAcentral lists this ribosomal RNA (450 nucleotides) under uncultured bacterium. RNAcentral's name for it is "bacterial SSU rRNA". It matches the Rfam family "Bacterial small subunit ribosomal RNA", at positions 354 to 796 of the family's 1533-position model. The record is from RNAcentral.
GUGGGGAAUAUUGGACAAUGGGCGAAAGCCUGAUCCAGCCAUGCCGCGUGUGUGAAGAAGGUCUUCGGAUUGUAAAGCACUUUAAGUUGGGAGGAAGGGUAGUAACCUAAUACGUUGCUACUUUGACGUUACCGACAGAAUAAGCACCGGCUAACUUCGUGCCAGCAGCCGCGGUAAUACGAAGGGUGCAAGUGUUAAUCGGAAUUACUGGGCGUAAAGCGCGCGUAGGUGUUUCAGUAAGUUGGAAGUGAAAUCGCCGGGCUCAACCUGGGAACUGCGUUCAAAACUGAUGAGAUAGAGUGCGGUAGAGGGUGGUGGAAUUUCCUGUGUAGCGGUGAAAUGCGUAGAUAUAGGAAGGAACACCAGUGGCGAAGGCGACCACCUGGACUGAUACUGACACUGAGGUGCGAAAGCGUGGGGAGCAAACAGGAUUAGAAACCCGGGUAGUCC